RNAcentral lists this non-coding RNA (24 nucleotides) under Arabidopsis thaliana (thale cress). The record is from RNAcentral. Lineage: Eukaryota; Viridiplantae; Streptophyta; Magnoliopsida; Brassicales; Brassicaceae.
AUCGAGUGAAGGUGAUGAAGGUAC